UGAUGUUCGCUUCCACAGCACAUGAUUGGAACAACAUGGAGAAGAAUGUCAUGGCCCCAGCACAAGGAUGACACACAAAUUCAUGAAGUGUUCCAUGUUAAA
This is a small nuclear RNA of Zalophus californianus (California sea lion), 102 nucleotides long. The record is from Ensembl. Lineage: Eukaryota; Metazoa; Chordata; Mammalia; Carnivora; Otariidae.